GUUUCGGUAGCUCAGUGGAAAGAGCAUCUGCCUUCUAAGCAGUUGGUCGCUGGUUCGAUCCCAGCCCGAAACG
RNAcentral lists this transfer RNA (73 nucleotides) under bacterium. RNAcentral describes it as "tRNA-Arg". It matches the Rfam family "tRNA". From Rfam's summary of the family: Transfer RNA (tRNA) molecules are approximately 80 nucleotides in length. Their secondary structure includes four short double-helical elements and three loops (D, anti-codon, and T loops). Further hydrogen bonds mediate the characteristic L-shaped molecular structure. tRNAs have two regions of fundamental functional importance: the anti-codon, which is responsible for specific mRNA codon recognition, and the 3' end, to which the tRNAs corresponding amino acid is attached (by aminoacyl-tRNA synthetases). tRNAs cope with the degeneracy of the genetic code in two manners: having more than one tRNA (with a specific anti-codon) for a particular amino acid; and 'wobble' base-pairing, i.e. permitting non-standard base-pairing at the 3rd anti-codon position. The record is from RNAcentral.